Molecule: small RNA, 99 nt
Filed under: Aureimonas altamirensis
Lineage: Bacteria; Pseudomonadati; Pseudomonadota; Alphaproteobacteria; Hyphomicrobiales; Aurantimonadaceae
Description: Aurantimonas altamirensis rpsB sRNA
Rfam family: rpsB sRNA
Source: Rfam by way of RNAcentral
CACACACGGAUAUCGGGUUCUGUCGCGAGGCGGCGGCUCCCACCGGUGGCGGUUCGACCGCUUCUAUCCGUGGAGGUUAAACCGGUCAAAAGGAUAGAU